RNAcentral lists this ribosomal RNA (253 nucleotides) under uncultured bacterium. Its description in RNAcentral is "partial 16S ribosomal RNA". It matches the Rfam family "Bacterial small subunit ribosomal RNA", at positions 524 to 776 of the family's 1533-position model. The record is from RNAcentral.
UACGUAGGGUGCAAGCGUUAAUCGGAAUUACUGGGCGUAAAGCGUGCGCAGGCGGUUUUGUAAGUCUGUCGUGAAAGCCCCCGGCUCAACCUGGGAAUUGCGAUGGAGACUGCAAGGCUUGAAUCUGGCAGAGGGGGGUAGAAUUCCACGUGUAGCAGUGAAAUGCGUAGAGAUGUGGAGGAACACCGAUGGCGAAGGCAGCCCCCUGGGUCAAGAUUGACGCUCAUGCACGAAAGCGUGGGGAGCAAACAGG